ACGGGAGGCAGCAGUGAGGAAUAUUGCACAGUGGGGGAAACCCUGAUGCAGCAACGCCGCGUGAGUGAUGAAGGCCUUCGGGUUGUAAAACUCUGAUCUGGGGGAAGAAACAAAUGACGGUACCCCAGGAGAAAGCCCCGGCUAACUACGUGCCAGCAGCCGCGGUAAUACGUAGGGGGCAAGCGUUAUCCGGAAUUAUUGGGCGUAAAGAGUGCGUAGGUGGUUACCUAAGCGCAAGGUUUAAUCUUGAGGCUUAACCUCAGUCUGCCUUGCGUACUGGGCUACUUGAGUGCAGGAGGGGAAAGCGGAAUUCCUAGUGGAGCGGUGAAAUGCGUAGAUAUUAGGAAGAACACCGGUGGCGAAGGCGGCUUUCUGGACUGUAACUGACGUGGAGGCUCGAAAGCGUGGGGAGCAAACAGGAUUAGAUACCCUGGUA
Molecule: ribosomal RNA, 436 nt
Filed under: uncultured Mogibacterium sp.
Lineage: Bacteria; Bacillati; Bacillota; Clostridia; Peptostreptococcales; Anaerovoracaceae
Description: bacterial SSU rRNA
Rfam family: Bacterial small subunit ribosomal RNA
Source: RNAcentral